UAACGAAACGCAGGUUCGAACCCGGGACGUUUAGAUCUUCAAUCUAACGCUUUCACAACUGAUCUAUUCCACC
This is a non-coding RNA of Cordylochernes scorpioides, 73 nucleotides long. The record is from the annotation of a GenBank genome assembly. Lineage: Eukaryota; Metazoa; Arthropoda; Arachnida; Pseudoscorpiones; Chernetidae.